Molecule: ribosomal RNA, 1688 nt
Filed under: Cromeria occidentalis
Lineage: Eukaryota; Metazoa; Chordata; Actinopteri; Gonorynchiformes; Kneriidae
Description: 16S rRNA
Rfam family: Bacterial large subunit ribosomal RNA
Source: RNAcentral
GCAGAAUAGCUAGCCUAAUGAACAAGACCAAAAGUGAAGAAAUUAACACAAUCCCCAAAACCACCAAUUUAAAAAACUAAAGCAUUCUCCCACCUUAGUAUGGGUGACAGAAAAGGAAACCAAGAGCAAUAGAAAAAGUACCGCAAGGGAAAGCUGAAAUAGUAAUGAAAAAGCCCGUUAAAGCGAAAUAAAGCAUAGACUAAAACUUGUACCUUUUGCAUCAUGAUUUAGCCAGUAUAACCAAGCAAAGAGCCCUUAAGUUUGGACCCCCGAAACUGGCGUGAGCUACUUCAAGGCAGCCUAAAACAGGGCAAACCCGUCUCUGUGGCAAAAGAGUGGGAAGACCUUCAAGUAGAGGCGACAAACCUAACGAACCCAGUCAUAGCUGGUUGCCCAAGAAAUGAAUAUAAGUUCAGCCCUACCCCCCUCGACCUACGGAUGUUAAAACAACACUAAGCGCUGAGAAAGAAGUAGGAGCUAGUCAAAGAAGGUACAGCUUCUUUGAAAAGGACACAACCUUAAUAGAAGGCAAAGGAUCAUAUACCUCGAGGACCAAAUACUGCAGUAGGCCUAAAAGCAGCCAUCAACCCAGAAAGCGUUAAAGCUCAGGCAAUAUAGAAUCCAAUUAUUAGGACAAAUUAUCCGAACCCGCUAGAAACUUAUUGGGCCAUUCCAUGCCCCCAUGGAAGAAAUAAUGCUAAAAUGAGUAACAAGAAGAACUACCCUUCUCCCCGCACAUGUGUAUGUUAGACUGGACAAACCACUAACAAAUGACGGACUCAAUACAAGAGAGAACAAGGAAUUAAAUAAAGACCAGGAAAACCCCCUUGAUAAUAACCGUUGACCCCACACAGGAGUGCCCUAUGGGAAAGACAAAAAGGAGAAGAAGGAACUCGGCAAACACCACAAGCCUCGCCUGUUUACCAAAAACAUCGCCUCCUGUCACAACAAAAUAUAGGAGGUCCCGCCUGCCCAGUGACUAAAAGUUUAACGGCCGCGGUAUCCUGACCGUGCAAAGGUAGCGCAAUCACUUGUCCCUUAAAUAGGGACCUGUAUGAAUGGCAUCACGAGGGCUUAACUGUCUCCUCCUCCAAGUCAGUGAAAUUGAUCUGCCCGUGAAGAAGCGGGCAUAAAAAUGUAAGACGAGAAGACCCUAUGGAGCUUAAGACACAAGGGCCACCCAAGUUCAACCACCCCUAUUAAGAGGCCAAACAAAAUGGAAACUGACUACUUGUCUUCGGUUGGGGCGACCGCGGGGAAAAACGAAACCCCCACGUGGAAUAGGAGAAAUCCUAAGCCGAGAUAAAACAUAUCUAAGCCAUAAAACGUUUAACCACCAAUGACCCGGCCCCCGGGCCGAUCAACGAACCAAGUUACCCUAGGGAUAACAGCGCAAUCCUCUUCUAGAGUCCAUAUCGACAAGAGGGUUUACGACCUCGAUGUUGGAUCAGGACAUCCUAAUGGUGCAGCCGCUAUUAAGGGUUCGUUUGUUCAACGAUUAAAGUCCUACGUGAUCUGAGUUCAGACCGGAGCAAUCCAGGUCAGUUUCUAUCUACAAUAGUACUUUUUCCCAGUACGAAAGGAUCGGAAAAAGAAGGCCCAUGCUAAGAGCACGCCUUAGACCCACCUGAUGAACACAACUAAAUUAGAUAAGGGGACACAACAAGUACCAGCCGAGAUCAAGGCUU